This 392-nucleotide ribosomal RNA is filed under the name uncultured Streptococcus sp. RNAcentral's name for it is "bacterial SSU rRNA". It matches the Rfam family "Bacterial small subunit ribosomal RNA", at positions 992 to 1382 of the family's 1533-position model. Lineage: Bacteria; Bacillati; Bacillota; Bacilli; Lactobacillales; Streptococcaceae. The record is from RNAcentral.
GCUAUUUCUUAGAGAUUAGAAAGUUUACUUCGGUUACAUCGGUGACAGGUGGUGGCAUGGUUGUCGUCAGCUCGUGUCGUGAGAUGUUGGGUUAAGUCCCGCAACGAGCGCAACCCCUAUUGUUAGUUGCCAUCAUUCAGUUUGGGCACUCUAGCGAGACUGCCGGUAAUAAACCGGAGGAAGGUGGGGAUGACGUCAAAUCAUCAUGCCCCUUAUGACCUGGGCUACACACGUGCUCAAUGGUUGGUACAACGAGUUGCGAGUCGGUGACGGCGAGCUAAUCUCUUAAAGCCAAUCUCAGUUCGGAUUGUAGGCUGCAACUCGCCUACAUGAAGUCGGAAUCGCUAGUAAUCGCGGAUCAGCACGCCGCGGUGAAUACGUUCCCGGGCCUU